AGGAGUGACCUGGUGUUCGCUCACCAGAUUUUCUGGUGGGAGGAAAGUCCGGACUUCUGCAGGGAAGGUGGUUCCUAACAGGAACAGGUAGCAAUACCUGGAAAGUGCCACAGAAAAUACACUGCUUACUAUAUAUAAAAAUAGUAAGCAAAGGUGAAAAGGCGAGGUAAGAGCUCACCGGUUCUCUGGUAACAGAGAACGCAAGGCAAACCCCACCUGAAGCAAGGUCAAGUAGAACCAAUGGGUUCCCUGCCCCAAAAGGUUCGGGUAGACCGCUUGAGUCAGAAGGCGACUUCUGACCCAGAUGAAUGAACACCUAAAACAGAAUCCGGCUUAUAGGUCACUCCUAUUU
This 352-nucleotide RNase P RNA is filed under the name Candidatus Omnitrophota bacterium. Its description in RNAcentral is "RNase P RNA component class A". It matches the Rfam family "Bacterial RNase P class A". Rfam says of the family: Ribonuclease P (RNase P) is a ubiquitous endoribonuclease, found in archaea, bacteria and eukarya as well as chloroplasts and mitochondria. Lineage: Bacteria; Pseudomonadati; Candidatus Omnitrophota. The record is from RNAcentral.